Molecule: ribosomal RNA, 245 nt
Filed under: uncultured bacterium
Lineage: Bacteria
Description: partial 16S ribosomal RNA
Rfam family: Bacterial small subunit ribosomal RNA
Source: RNAcentral
UACGUAGGGUGCGAGCGUUAUCCGGAAUUACUGGGCGUAAAGCGUGCGUAGGCGGUUUUUUAAGUUAGGUGUUAAAUCCCCGGGCUUAACUCGGGGGCUGCAUCUAAUACUGGGAGACUUGAGGAUGGAAGAGGCAAGCGGAAUUUCCGGUGGAGCGGUAAAAUGCGUAGAUAUCGGAAAGAACACCAAUGGCGAAGGCAGCUUGCUGGGCCAUUCCUGACGCUAAGGCACGAAAGCGUGGGGAG